RNAcentral lists this ribosomal RNA (381 nucleotides) under uncultured Alphaproteobacteria bacterium. RNAcentral's name for it is "bacterial SSU rRNA". It matches the Rfam family "Bacterial small subunit ribosomal RNA", at positions 44 to 451 of the family's 1533-position model. The record is from RNAcentral. Lineage: Bacteria; Pseudomonadati; Pseudomonadota; Alphaproteobacteria.
AGGCCUAACACAUGCAAGUCGAGCGCUCCUCUUCGGAGGGGAGCGGCGAACGGGUGAGUAACGCGUGGGAACGUACCUUUUGGUUCGGGACAACCCUGGGAAACUGGGGCUAAUACCGGAUACGCUCUACGGAGGAAAGAUUUAUCGCCGAGAGAUCGGCCCGCGUUGGAUUAGCUUGUUGGUGAGGUAAUGGCUCACCAAGGCUACGAUCUAUAGCUGGUCUGGGAGGAUGAUCAGCCACACUGGGACUGAGACACGGCCCAGACUCCUACGGGAGGCAGCAGUGGGGAAUCUUGGACAAUGGGGGCAACCCUGAUCCAGCCAUGCCGCGUGAGUGAAGAAGGCCUUAGGGUUGUAAAGCUCUUUCAGCAGGGACGGAUA